Molecule: ribosomal RNA, 253 nt
Filed under: uncultured bacterium
Lineage: Bacteria
Description: partial 16S ribosomal RNA
Rfam family: Bacterial small subunit ribosomal RNA
Source: RNAcentral
UACGGAGGGUGCGAGCGUUAUCCGGAUUCACUGGGUUUAAAGGGUGCGUAGGAGGGCAGGUAAGUCAGUGGUGAAAUCUCCGAGCUUAACUUGGAAACUGCCGUUGAUACUAUCUGUCUUGAAUAUUGUGGAGGUGAGCGGAAUAUGUCAUGUAGCGGUGAAAUGCUUAGAUAUGACAUAGAACACCAAUUGCGAAGGCAGCUCGCUACACAUAUAUUGACUCUGAGGCACGAAAGCGUGGGGAUCAAACAGG